GACAAGCGGUGGAUUAUGUGGUUUAAUUCGAAGCAACGCGCAGAACCUUACCUGGGCUUGAACUCCCACGAACCCGGCCCAAAAGCUGGGGUGCUCUUCGGAGAAUGUGGAGAGAGGCGCUGCAUGGCUGUCGUCAGCUCGUGUCGUGAGAUGCUGGGUUAAGUCCCGCAACGAGCGCAACCCUCGCCUCUAGUUGCCAGCAUUAAGUUGGGCACUCUAGAGGGACUGCCGGUGAUAAGCCGAGAGGAAGGUGGGGAUGACGUCAAGUCCUCAUGGCCCUUACGGGCUGGGCUACACACGUGCUACAAUGGCGGUGACAGUGGGCAGCCAACCAGCGAUGGUGCGCUAAUCCCAAAAAGCCGUCUCAGUUCGGAUUGCACUCUGCAACUCGAGUGCAUGAAGUCGGAAUCGCUAGUAAUCGUAGAUCAGCAUGCUACGGUGAAUACGUUCCCGGGCCUU
Molecule: ribosomal RNA, 459 nt
Filed under: uncultured Pseudoxanthobacter sp.
Lineage: Bacteria; Pseudomonadati; Pseudomonadota; Alphaproteobacteria; Hyphomicrobiales; Segnochrobactraceae
Description: bacterial SSU rRNA
Rfam family: Bacterial small subunit ribosomal RNA
Source: RNAcentral